RNAcentral lists this transfer RNA (122 nucleotides) under Sporisorium scitamineum. RNAcentral describes it as "transfer RNA-Arg(TCT)". It matches the Rfam family "tRNA". Rfam says of the family: Transfer RNA (tRNA) molecules are approximately 80 nucleotides in length. The record is from RNAcentral. Lineage: Eukaryota; Fungi; Basidiomycota; Ustilaginomycetes; Ustilaginales; Ustilaginaceae.
GGCGUCGUGGCGCAAUGGCUAGCGCAUAGAGCUUCUACAUUUUCUACAGGUUCGAGGGUGAAGAGGCUCAAGAAUCUCGAGAAACAACUCUAAGGCUGCGGGUUCGAGUCCCGCCGACGUCU